This 259-nucleotide ribosomal RNA is filed under the name uncultured bacterium. RNAcentral's name for it is "partial 16S ribosomal RNA". It matches the Rfam family "Bacterial small subunit ribosomal RNA", at positions 99 to 353 of the family's 1533-position model. The record is from RNAcentral.
CGAACGGGUGAGUAACGCGUGAGGAACCUGCCUCAAAGAGGGGGGACAACAGUUGGAAACGACUGCUAAUACCGCAUAAGCCCACGGUGCCGCAUGGCACAGAGGGAAAAGGAGCAAUCCGCUUUGAGAUGGCCUCGCGUCCGAUUAGCUAGUUGGUGAGGUAACGGCCCACCAAGGCAACGAUCGGUAGCCGGACUGAGAGGUUGAACGGCCACAUUGGGACUGAGACACGGCCCAGACUCCUACGGGAGGCAGCAUG